GACGGAGGGUGCUAGCGUUGUUCGGAAUUACUGGGCGUAAAGAGCGCGCAGGCGGUCGUGCAAGUCGCGUGUGAAAGCCCCCGGCUCAACUGGGGAGGGUCACGCGAUACUGCUCGACUUGAAGGCAGGAGAGGGAAGUGGAAUUCCCGGUGUAGUGGUGAAAUGCGUAGAUAUCGGGAGGAACACCAGUGGCGAAGGCGACUUCCUGGCCUGUUCUUGACGCUGAGGCGCGAAAGCUAGGGUAGCAAACGGG
This 253-nucleotide ribosomal RNA is filed under the name uncultured bacterium. RNAcentral's name for it is "partial 16S ribosomal RNA". It matches the Rfam family "Bacterial small subunit ribosomal RNA", at positions 524 to 776 of the family's 1533-position model. The record is from RNAcentral.